RNAcentral lists this ribosomal RNA (363 nucleotides) under uncultured bacterium. Its description in RNAcentral is "bacterial SSU rRNA". It matches the Rfam family "Bacterial small subunit ribosomal RNA", at positions 28 to 412 of the family's 1533-position model. The record is from RNAcentral.
GAUGAACGCUGGCGGCGUGCCUUAGGCAUGCAAGUCGAACGGUCCCGCAUUGCGGGACAGUGGCGGAAGGGUGAGUAACGCGUGGGAACGUACCCAUUGGUGGAGUACAGCUCGCCGAAAGGCGGGGUAAUGCUCCAUAACCUCGCAAGAGAAAAGGGCUUAACCGCCCGCCGAUGGAGCGGCCUGCGUCCUAUCAGCUUGUUGGUGGGGUAAAAGCCUACCAAGGCAAUGACGGGAGCUGGACUGAGAGGUCGGCCAGCCACAAUGGAACUGAGACACGGUCCAUACAUCUACGGAUGGCAGCAACCGGGAAUCUUGGACAAUGGGGGAAACCCUGAUCCAGCGACGCCGCGUGAGGAUGAA